RNAcentral lists this ribosomal RNA (425 nucleotides) under uncultured bacterium. Its description in RNAcentral is "partial 16S ribosomal RNA". It matches the Rfam family "Bacterial small subunit ribosomal RNA", at positions 354 to 796 of the family's 1533-position model. The record is from RNAcentral.
GUUAGGAAUAUUGGACAAUGGGCGAAAGCCUGAUCCAGCCAUGCCGCGUGAACGAUGAAGGCCUUCGGGUUGUAAAGUUCUUUAGCCGAUGAUUAUAAUGACUGUAGUCGGAAAAUAAGCCCCGGCUAACUUCGUGCCAGCAGCCGCGGUAAUACGAAGGGGGCGAGUGUUAUUCGGAAUCACUGGGCGUAAAGCGUGCGUAGGCGGUUUUGUAAGUUAGGAGUGAAAGCCCAGGGCUCAACCUUGGAAUUGCUCUUAAAACUGCAAGGCUCGAAUCUCGGAGAGGAUAGCGGAAUUUCCAGUGUAGCAGUGAAAUGCGUAGAUAUUGGAAGGAACACCAGUGGCGUAAGCGGCUAUCUGGACGAGUAUUGACGCUGAGGCACGAAAGCGUGGGGAUCAAACAGGAUUAGAAACCCGAGUAGUCC